AGAAUGACCUUAUUUGGAUAUUAUAAUUUAUAAGUCAAGAGUAGAGUUACAAACCACCUUGGGGGGGAGGGGGGAGGGGGGGGAUCAAGCUAUUAGUGAGAUAUCACUUUUGAAGGCUUAGAAUUCUAACCUUGUGUCAAGACUUACGGACCAAGGGACAGUCUCAGGUAGACAAUUUCUAUGGGGCGUAGGCCUCCCAAAAGGUUAUGAAAGUGUGCGAAAGUUUCCUCGGGGCAAACAAAGAUUGGCCCUCGAGUGCAAAGGUAGAAGGGAGUUUGACUGCAACACCCACCUGUCGAGUAGGAACGAAAGUCGACUUUAGUGAUCCGAUGAUGUCAAGUGGAAGGAUAUUGACUCAACGGAUAAAAGUUACUCUAGGGACAACAAGUUGAUCUUCCCCGAGAGUUCACAUUGACGGGAAGGUUUGGAACCUUGAUGUCGGCUCUUCGCCACCUGGGGAUGUAGUAUGUUCCAAGGGUUGGGUUGUUCGCCUAUUAAAGCAGUGCGUGAGUUGGGUGCAGAACAUCGAGAGACAGUUUGGACUUU
This 546-nucleotide non-coding RNA is filed under the name Solanum tuberosum (potato). Its description in RNAcentral is "Bacterial large subunit ribosomal RNA". It matches the Rfam family "Bacterial large subunit ribosomal RNA", at positions 2119 to 2639 of the family's 2925-position model. Lineage: Eukaryota; Viridiplantae; Streptophyta; Magnoliopsida; Solanales; Solanaceae. The record is from Rfam by way of RNAcentral.